UGAGCUGGCAGCCGCGGGACACGGGCACACAACAGGAGAACAUGUUCGUCAGGCGAAGGUGUCCCAACGAAUGAGCCCAGUCGGGCGCUGUCUCCAGAACGGCCGGGUGGGUCGUGCGGAGGCCAGGUGUGGCCAGGGACCCGCACUCAGCACCUGUAGAUGAUCCAGACGGUCCGGUGAUGUGCAUGAAUCCAACCGCUCCCCACCUGGCUGGUCACCCAUAUUCCCACCUCUGCCAACUGCUCUGGGAACCAAACCUCUCCUGAGCCUCAGAACCACGCCCGCCCCUGCCAGGCAGGCCUCAGGGUGCGAGGCAAGGUGGGUUGGACAUCUGGGGAAAUGAUGGCCAGUGACUACACCCACCCCACCCAGCUGGCCUGGACCGCAGACUCCACCCAGGGUCCAGGUGCAUGGACCCUGGGGCAUGGCUGGGCCAGGGCUCCUGGAGGCAGCAGUGGAGGCCAACGCAGGGCAGGGAGAAGUCGGUCCUCCCCUUGCCCUUCUCCUUUCCUCCUUCCGCCUUGUCUUCCUGGCAGGACGUUGGACAGAGGUCCAGCCUGUGCCUGGCUGCAGCCCUGUGAGCAGUCAGAGGGUGGCAAGCUGCCCGGGGAGGCCGGGGGCCACAUCCAGGAUGACCAAGUGUCAGGGGGCUACUGUAGCUGGGCAUCCCCCGGGCACUCAGUGAUUUCAGCCCUUUGUAUACAUGAGCCGUGACCCCGGGACCGGGUAUCGGCCCAUUCCUCACCCCAAGAGGCACGUAUCCUCCCCAGCCGAGGCCCCGUCGGUGGCCGGCCCUCCCUCCAGCCCCAAGAGGUCCAGCUGCUCCACAGGCCAUACAUCUUUCCCGGCUGGAGCCCGAGCAGCCAUCAGGGGCCUGGAUCCGGGCCCUGGAGCCCCUCAGGGAGGACAGCCGGCGGGCGACACCGCAUCACUGGUACCGGCCUGGACGUGACGAUCAGGAGGUUGGACGAGAGCAUCCGCCGAGCUGGCAGGGGGCGCGUCCUUGGUCCCCUCACCGAGAUCUCUCCGGGUACAGACCUCACUUGAACAACUCCUCUGACAGGAGACCAUCUCUGGACCUGCCAAGGAAUCCAGCCCCGGGGGGAGGCGACGACCUGCUCUGCUCUACAGAGGAGGAGACUGAGGCAACAUCAUCCUCCCAGGCCGGUGCCUGGGAAUCCAUGCUUGCCUGGGGGCAAAUACCAAGCCCGCGAGCUCCCUCCACAUCUAGGAUGCCGUGGCUCUGACGACACUGCCUGGUCACGUCCCCUGCGCCUGGCAAGCUGCGGUGACCCCCGACUCCUUACCUGACGUCCGAGCCCCGAGUGAACUGGGCCAGAUGCCCUCCCCAGGGUGUACCCCUCGCCCCUCCCUAGUGUUUUCCUCCCCCAGGGAGCCCACCAUCCCUGCCCCUCGAGCCCCCUGCUACCACUGCCCCGCUCCAUGGCUCCCAUCCAGAGCACCCUCAUCUCUAAGGCUGGCUUCAGAGGUCACCUCCUCGGGGUCCUGCGAAAGCCCAGGCUUCGGGUCAGAGCGACCCAGGCUCACACCCACAGCGGGGCCACGUCAGAGUCCUGUGACACGCAAGCUCUAUGCCAGCUUCUGGGACCUCGGUGCUCUUUUUGCAGAUGGGGUCGGCGGCUCCCACCGCCGGUGGGUGUGUGGGGGAUGAAAGCAGGGAGGUGAAG
Molecule: long non-coding RNA, 1688 nt
Organism: Leopardus geoffroyi (Geoffroy's cat)
Lineage: Eukaryota; Metazoa; Chordata; Mammalia; Carnivora; Felidae
Exons: 3
Source: RefSeq, a predicted model, not a curated record